RNAcentral lists this ribosomal RNA (253 nucleotides) under uncultured bacterium. RNAcentral describes it as "partial 16S ribosomal RNA". It matches the Rfam family "Bacterial small subunit ribosomal RNA", at positions 524 to 776 of the family's 1533-position model. The record is from RNAcentral.
GACGUAGGGCGCGAGCGUUGUCCGGAUUUAUUGGGCGUAAAGAGCUCGUAGGCGGCUCGUUGCGUCAAUCGUGAAAACCCGGGGCUUAACUUCGGGCUUGCGGUUGAUACGGGCGGGCUGGAGUUCGGUAGGGGAGACUGGAAUUCCUGGUGUAGCGGUGAAAUGCGUGGAUAUUGUGAGGAACACUAGUGGCGAAGGCGAGACUCUGGACAGUUCCUGACGCUGAGGCACGAAGGCCAGGGGAGCAAACGGG